RNAcentral lists this long non-coding RNA (271 nucleotides) under Lathyrus oleraceus (garden pea). RNAcentral's name for it is "Pisum sativum (pea) long non-coding RNA (PSAT_LNC006470)". The record is from RNAcentral. Lineage: Eukaryota; Viridiplantae; Streptophyta; Magnoliopsida; Fabales; Fabaceae.
CCAUAUCCAACGCCUUUGCUUUUUAUGGUUUAUUUCUUUUUCUUUUUUUUUUCUUUUUAAUUGCAUUUUCUUUAGAAAUUCAUAGCAAAUUUAUUUUUCAUCCAAAAAAUCCCAAAAUAAUUUCUAAAUUUUUCUUUUAAUUUUCUUCAUCUGAUUUUUCUUUUUUCAUAUUUUAUGUUCUUGCUUUUCUACUUUUCUUGGACUUUCUCUUUUUUUCUUUGUUUUAAUUGGUUUAAAAAUGCUUUUAUGCAUUUAAAAUUUCUGAAAAAAU